Bombina bombina (fire-bellied toad) is the source of this 723-nucleotide long non-coding RNA. RefSeq lists it as uncharacterized. The record is from RefSeq and is a predicted model, not a curated record. NCBI's taxonomy places the organism in Eukaryota, Metazoa, Chordata, Amphibia, Anura, Bombinatoridae. The transcript has 3 exons.
GAAAAAGGCUGGAACUAACAGCUGAAACACGUUUUUUGUUAUAUUGAAGCUACUGGGAUAUACACCAGAUCCUUUUUCACAUGCUGCUUCUACUUUGGAUGAAUUUACAUGGCCGUGCACAGUGAUGAUGGUGAUGCUGAUCCAUUAGUCACUGAACAUUGAGCUACAAUCCCCAUUCAAAGAGCUGAGGAGCUGAGGUGAUGAAAAAGACAAUUUAUUUUUUAAAAUAAAUAGGAGACUGUGAGAUGUUUGGAGGAGUCACAGAGCUGCCGCUUGGCACUAUCAGAAAGCAGAUUAUUUUCCAGGCUACAAAAUAUUAGGACAGUGGCUGCAGCCCAAGAAUAGAGAGCCAGGAACAAGAUGAGGAGGGUGGCAGGAAAAAUCAGGGCUCUCGUAACGAGACAAACUGAAAGGCACUGAAGGGAGGAGAGGUGGCAUCAGGACAAGUUUGGGAAGGAACAUGCUGGUUUGCGGAACAGAUCAAAGGCAAAAGAGAGAAGGGGAAGGAGUGGCAGGGUGAGGACUGAUCACCAGUCUUGUGACACCCUCUCUCAGUGGAUUGCAGGAUCCUCUGGAUUGAAGACAGAAUACAAUUUACUGAACGAAAACACAGAUUUCUGGUUCCUAGAAAAAUAUAUAGUAUGUGCUAACUGGUAGCAACUGUCACCUACCACAUUUUCUUUCUUGCUGCAAAUAAAAUUAACCCUUUUUGCUCAUAGGCUA